Long non-coding RNA from Cotesia glomerata, 609 nucleotides. RefSeq lists it as uncharacterized. The transcript has 2 exons. The record is from RefSeq and is a predicted model, not a curated record. NCBI's taxonomy places the organism in Eukaryota, Metazoa, Arthropoda, Insecta, Hymenoptera, Braconidae.
CCGUAUUCAUAGUCCGGUCUUAAGUUUGUACUUAAGCCUGUCUUCAUGAAGACGGCCUUAUCGGCUGUAAGUUAUGAUGUUUUCAGAGUCAUUCUUUAAGAUAAACUUGAGUAAGUAAAAAGUUUUAAGCAGGAUCUUAUUUUCAGUAAGAUAAGCUUUAGUAAGACCCAACUUAAGACCAAGUCAACGCGUGUUCGUCAAUUUCCGUGAAAAUUCUUAUGUUUCCAACAAUCUCAUUGGUUGAAAAGUACUUAAAUUUUGACAAUGAAGUUUUUUAUUCAAAAUUGUAAACAGAUGUACAAAUGUACCUUAGAAAAUUGUAAGCCUCAAAUUCAAGCCUCUAAUUCAACUAGAAAAUUAUUACCGCAAGAUCAGAAGAAAAUAUGUCAAAAAGGAAAAGUACUAAUUUUACCGCUGUAGAAAAAAAAUAUUUUCUACAAAUUUUAAAAAAUUAUGCCCAAGUAAUUGAAAAUAAAAAGAGUUAUGCUGCUACAUUAAGUGAAAAAAAAGAAGCAUGGGAUUUCAUCGCAACCGACUUUAAUUCAUCUAGUAUAAUUACUGAAAGGCGAAAUGCAGAUCAACUCAAAAAACUUUGGUCAAAUCUAAAAA